This is a non-coding RNA of Mycena galericulata, 93 nucleotides long. The record is from the annotation of a GenBank genome assembly. NCBI's taxonomy places the organism in Eukaryota, Fungi, Basidiomycota, Agaricomycetes, Agaricales, Mycenaceae.
GGCCUGGUGGUGUAGUGGGAACACAACCUCUCAAUUUAGAGGAUUCUCACAGAUUGUUUGAGGGAGACCCCUGUUCGAUUCGGGGCUGGGCCA